Non-coding RNA from Cryphonectria parasitica EP155, 92 nucleotides. NCBI's taxonomy places the organism in Eukaryota, Fungi, Ascomycota, Sordariomycetes, Diaporthales, Cryphonectriaceae. The record is from the annotation of a RefSeq genome assembly.
GGUUGUGUAGUGUAGAGGUUAUCACUCCGGAUUUUGACUCGUACGACGGUUAGAACUUUCCGGCAACCGCGGUUCGAGUCCGCGCACGACCU